UGAUUUGAGAUCGAACGUUCAAAAGUUGUCCUCGCUGGGGAGAGACGUUUAUGAGCCCCAAUGAACCUUCAUCGCUGAGGGUUACCUGACGGACAACCACGAGCGUAGAUAGUUAUCACACCCGUGACGCCGCCAAACACUGGCAAGCUGAUUCAUUUGAGAGGAGCCGGCCACAAGGCCAGCAAACCCCCAAAGUCCAAGCUCAUCAUGGAAGACCAUGAGAGUUGAGGUGUUCAUGAUACUCAAACAGGCAUGCUCCGAGGAAUAACCAAGGGGCGCAAGGUGCGUUCAAAGAUUCGAUGAUUCACUGAAUUCUGCAAUUCACAUUACUUAUCGCAUUUCGCUGCGUUCUUCAUCGAUGCGAGAGCCAAGAGAUCCGUUGCUGAAAGUUGUAUUGUAUUGCGUUAAACGCGAAAAAACAUUCCAUGAGACAUCGCUACGGUGUGUGUGUAAAGACGUAGAGCUACGGAAGGAAGACAAUGUCUCCCGGUCCACAGAACUACAGAGGGUGCACAGGUGUGAGUGGAUGUGUAAACAGAGCGUGCACAUGCCCCGUUCGGGGGCCAGCAACAACCCGUGUUUGACAAUUCGGUAAUGAUCCUUCC
RNAcentral lists this unclassified non-coding RNA (605 nucleotides) under uncultured fungus. Its description in RNAcentral is "sequence contains ITS1, 5.8S rRNA gene, ITS2 and 28S rRNA gene". The record is from RNAcentral. Lineage: Eukaryota; Fungi.